Long non-coding RNA from Pteropus alecto (black flying fox), 518 nucleotides. RefSeq lists it as uncharacterized. The transcript has 3 exons. NCBI's taxonomy places the organism in Eukaryota, Metazoa, Chordata, Mammalia, Chiroptera, Pteropodidae. The record is from RefSeq and is a predicted model, not a curated record.
CGGCGGCGGCGGCAGCGGCGCUACCCACCCUCCGGCACAACACCCACGGAACCAGCGAGCCACCGAGCCACGGGCCCCAGGGGCAGGUGCCCCCCAGAAACCAGCAAUCCUGCAACCAGUUGUGGAAUCCUGCAAUUAUUCAUAACAUUUGCUGAAAAUGUGCUUUAGAAAAGAUAAUCUUGCUAUAUAUUGCAAGGAGGUUAUACAGCUGGCAUUACAUAUAUGACAGAUGUGCAUAUUUGGAGCCUUAAAUAAAGAGAAGCAAAGGGACAACUGUGCAUAUUAUCUUGCAAGAGACAGCAACAGACACUCGCCAAAAAAUAAAGACAUAAAAGGACAAGAGAGACAGACGUAAGGUAGAAUAAAAAAAGAAAGAAAAAAGAAAGAAAAAGUAAAAAAGGAGGGAGAUCAAUAAAACGAUAUAACCUCAACUUUUCGCGAAUUAAAAAAUGCAAAUAUACCUUUACAUAUGCAUCAGUAUUAAAAAUAAUACACGCUGGAACCAACAGGAGCGGGAG